RNAcentral lists this non-coding RNA (30 nucleotides) under Mus musculus (house mouse). Lineage: Eukaryota; Metazoa; Chordata; Mammalia; Rodentia; Muridae. The record is from RNAcentral.
UCUAAGCCACUGGUUGUUAACCUUCCUAAU